Molecule: ribosomal RNA, 350 nt
Filed under: uncultured bacterium
Lineage: Bacteria
Description: partial 16S ribosomal RNA
Rfam family: Bacterial small subunit ribosomal RNA
Source: RNAcentral
CCUACGGGUGGCAGCAGUGAGGAAUAUUGGUCAAUGGGCGGAAGCCUGAACCAGCCACGUAGCGUGCGGGAUGAAGGCCCUACGGGUCGUAAACCGCUUUUGCACGGGGAUACCACCCUCCACUUGUGGAGGUCUGCAGGUACCGUGCGAAUAAGGGCCGGCCAAUUCCGUGCCAGCAGCCGCGGUAAUACGGAAGGCCGGAGCGGUAUUCGGAUUCAAUGGGGUUAAAGGGAGCGUAGGAGGGCGUUCAAGUCAGCUGUAAAAUCGCGCGGCUCAACCGCGCCCCGCAGUUGAAUCUGGACGCAUUGAGGUCAGAACGGGCAGGCGGGAUUCGUGGUGUAGCGGUGAAA